AUUGAACGCUGGCGGCGUGCUUAACACAUGCAAGUCGUGCGGUAACAGGCGUAGCAAUACGUGCUGACGAGCGGCGAACGGGUGCGUAAUACAUGGGAAUCUGCCCUUUAGUGGGGAAUAACCCGGCGAAAGCCGGGCUAAUGCCGCAUAAGAUCUUCGGAUGAAAGCGGGGGAUCGUAAGACCUCGCGCUGAUGGAUGAGCCCAUGUCGGAUUAGCAGUUGGUGAGGUAACGGCUCACCAAGGCGACGAUCCGUAGCUGGUCUGAGAGGACGGCCAGCCACACUGGGACUGAGACACGGCCCAGACUCCUACGGGAGGCAGCAGUGGGAAUAUUGGACAAUGGGCGAAAGCCUGAUCCAGCGACGCCGCGUGUGUGAAGAAGGCCUGCGGGUU
This 394-nucleotide ribosomal RNA is filed under the name uncultured bacterium. RNAcentral describes it as "bacterial SSU rRNA". It matches the Rfam family "Bacterial small subunit ribosomal RNA", at positions 30 to 424 of the family's 1533-position model. The record is from RNAcentral.